AGCCUUCUGGAUUUAAGUCGAGGUUUCCGUCAGACACCAGACCAUCAGUACUGACGAGACUCCCAAGAUACGUGAAGCG
This 79-nucleotide microRNA precursor is filed under the name Schistosoma mattheei. RNAcentral's name for it is "mir-3492 microRNA precursor family". It matches the Rfam family "mir-3492 microRNA precursor family". The record is from Rfam by way of RNAcentral. Lineage: Eukaryota; Metazoa; Platyhelminthes; Trematoda; Strigeidida; Schistosomatidae.